Long non-coding RNA from Alosa sapidissima (American shad), 490 nucleotides. RefSeq lists it as uncharacterized. The record is from RefSeq and is a predicted model, not a curated record. The transcript is spliced from 3 exons. Lineage: Eukaryota; Metazoa; Chordata; Actinopteri; Clupeiformes; Clupeidae.
ACUGCUCUGGAAAAAGGAUGUUGACAUGUCAUAACAGAUAGCCUAGGCCUACGGUCAAAAGUGGCAACAGCUGUUGCAGCUCCCCUAUCAAAACGACAAUGGUAAUGUUGCGACUUUAUGGCUGCCAAUCAUAUGACUUAUAUGAGUCAUAGUUUCAAUGAAUUACGUUGGACCACAAGUAGACUAGGCCAUUAGUCAUUCUCAAGGCCUGACAGGUAAACUAUAUCCGAAAUUAAACAGUAGCCCAUCCUGAACGAUCGCACAUUUCAACUCAAAUAUGGUCUGCACUGACUGAGAAACAGUGGCAUAGGCACCCUGGGUCGUACUGUGGCAGACUGUUGAGACAGCACACAUACAUCUGCCCGAUGUCGGUUUCAGAUCAGCAUGGAAUCCUCCCAUAUAAUAAUGUCGCAGGGGUAUCGGCCUGAAGUCGCUUCCAUGAGAAGAACCUGAUUUUUGGGGGAACAUUUUCUAACAGCAUUUUUUCAUC